GGUUGAACUACGCUCGAAGCUAGAGGCGAACAAAGUCGCCGCCGAAAGCCACGGUCUUGAGGGGAUUAUGAUGGUCCCCGAGAGAGAGACGCGACCUUCGGUCCUACUUUUCUUAGGAGGCAGCGAACAAGUGUCCAUUCGUGGAUCCCAUUCCCAGCCCUCCCCUUCAGAUUCGUUUCCGGUCCGUCUACCAACGUCAUGACGUUUCUCGGGUAGAGGUCUAUUCACAACGGCCACGGGGCUUGCACCUGUUAGCAGAGAGCAAAGUCAGAAGCUACCGGAUAAGUACUGCAGUACCAAACGAAAAGCAGCAGAAAAGUUUCAGGCAUAUCUAUGCUCCUCUCUACCGAUCGAGGUGUGCAGUAAGAUAGAAAGGCAGACACUGACCUUUGAAUUUGCGGCUCCGAACUCUGCUGCGAACUCUCUCGUCUCACUCGAACUACGUCUCACGUGCAUCAAAGCUCUGACAGAUGGUGCUGGAAGCAACGUUCAGUUGUUCAUCUGACACUACAUUAACAAAUACGCUAAAAAAGAGGUCUAAAUACCCUCUUACUGCCAAGGACUAAAUCGAAAUGUCAAUCCAUCAGACUGUCAAGGCCUCGAACUGCGUCUGAUGAGUGGAGGGCUCACAAGGAAGAACACAGUAUAGGGGACAGAACAUGCCUUUAAUGGGAUGUGAUGCACAGCCAACAGACUGCUUCAAGAAACAGCACACUCUCACAGAUGAAGCCGAUGGGGAAAAACACUGUAGACGGGUAAAAACUAAUGACAUUGAUGAUGACUGAUCUAUGACUCGUCUUGCCUGCAAAAGAAGGAAAUAAAUAUGCUACAGCAGCGAUUCAGGGCAACACACCAAGAUGCGCUGAAGAGUUGCAUACUACGAAAAAGAUAUGGGCAUCAUGACGUGAAAAGUCCAAUGCAGCUGAGCCAGCAGGCCGUUGGCAUAAAUCACUGAGGAAUGUGUACCUAUUUGUCCAUUUGCAUACAGGUCACGAAGCUGUACUAGUACCUCGACUCGAGCAGACUUUUGGAAGUAGACUUCCAAAACCUAUGAUCUUAUUCGUUUUGAAUGUUCAUAGUGAUACAGUUUGUAUUUUUACAGAAGACUGCACUAAAAUACUGAAUA
Ornithodoros turicata is the source of this 1126-nucleotide long non-coding RNA. RefSeq lists it as uncharacterized. Lineage: Eukaryota; Metazoa; Arthropoda; Arachnida; Ixodida; Argasidae. The transcript is spliced from 3 exons. The record is from RefSeq and is a predicted model, not a curated record.